GACGAACGCUGGCGGCGUGCUUAACACAUGCAAGUCGAACGGAAAGGCCCUGCUUUUGUGGGGUGCUCGAGGGGCGAACGGGUGAGUAACACGUGAGUAACCUGCCCUUGACUUUGGGAUAACUUCAGGAAACUGGGGCUAAUACCGGAUAGGAGCUCCGGCUGCAUGGUGGGGGUUGGAAAGUUUCGGCGGUUGGGGAUGGACUCGCGGCUUAUCAGCUUGUUGGUGGGGUAGUGGCUUACCAAGGCUUUGACGGGUAGCCGGCCUGAGAGGGUGACCGGCCACAUUGGGACUGAGAUACGGCCCAGACUCCUACGGGAGGCAGCAGUGGGGAAUAUUGCACAAUGGGCGGAAGCCUGAUGCAGCAACGCCGCGUGCGGGAUGACGGCCUUCGGGUUGUAAACCGCUUUCGCCUGUGACGAAGCGUGAGUGACGGUAAUGGGUAAAGAAGCACCGGCUAACUACGUG
This 468-nucleotide ribosomal RNA is filed under the name uncultured bacterium. RNAcentral describes it as "partial 16S ribosomal RNA". It matches the Rfam family "Bacterial small subunit ribosomal RNA", at positions 28 to 507 of the family's 1533-position model. The record is from RNAcentral.